Molecule: ribosomal RNA, 495 nt
Filed under: uncultured bacterium
Lineage: Bacteria
Description: partial 16S ribosomal RNA
Rfam family: Bacterial small subunit ribosomal RNA
Source: RNAcentral
GAUGAACGCUGGCGGCGUGCUUAACACAUGCAAGUCGAGCGAAGCACCUAAGAAAGAUUCUUCGGAUGAAUUCUUUUGUGACUGAGCGGCGGACGGGUGAGUAACGCGUGGGUAACCUGCCUCAUACAGGGGGAUAACAGGUAUAAAUGACUGCUAAUACCGCAUAAGACCACGGUACCGCAUGGUACAGUGGUAAAAACUCCGGUGGUAUGAGAUGGACCCGAGUCUGAUUAGCUAGUUGGUGGGGUAACGGCCUACCAAGGCGACGAUCAGUAGCCGACCUGAGAGGGUGACCGGCCACAUUGGGACUGAGACACGGCCCAAACUCCUACGGGAGGCAGCAGUGGGGAAUAUUGCACAAUGGGGGAAACCCUGAUGCAGCGACGCCGCGUGAAGGAUGAAGUAUUUCGGUAUGUAUACUUCUAUCAGCAGGGGAGAAAAUGACGGUACCUGACUAAGAAGCCCCGGCUAACUACGUGCCAGCAGCCGCCGUAA